UCUACGGGAGGCAGCAGUAGGGAAUCUUCCACAAUGGACGAAAGUCUGAUGGAGCAACGCCGCGUGUGUGAUGAAGGGUUUCGGCUCGUAAAGCACUGUUGUAAGAGAAGAAUGACAUUGAGAGUAACUGCUCAAUGUGUGACGGUAUCUUACCAGAAAGGAACGGCUAAAUACGUGCCAGCAGCCGCGGUAAUA
Molecule: ribosomal RNA, 195 nt
Filed under: uncultured bacterium
Lineage: Bacteria
Also listed under: 1 other name
Description: partial 16S ribosomal RNA
Rfam family: Bacterial small subunit ribosomal RNA
Source: RNAcentral